UACGAAGGGGGCGAGCGUUGUUCGGAAUUACUGGGCGUAAAGGGCGCGUAGGCGGCGACCCAAGUCAGAUGUGAAAGUCCUGGGCUUAACCUGGGGACUGCAUUUGAUACUGGGUUGCUUGAAUUCGGGAGAGGAUAGCGGAAUUCCCAGUGUAGAGGUGAAAUUCGUAGAUAUGGGGAGGAACACCGGUGGCGAAGGCGGCCAUCUGGACGGUAACUGACGCUGAGACGCGAAAGCGUGGGUAGCAAACAGG
Molecule: ribosomal RNA, 253 nt
Filed under: uncultured bacterium
Lineage: Bacteria
Description: partial 16S ribosomal RNA
Rfam family: Bacterial small subunit ribosomal RNA
Source: RNAcentral